UGUUAAAAAUUUUAUUUAUUUUCUAUUGUUAAAAAAUGACAUGGUUGACAGAUAACCAAACAGUGGCAUAUGACAUGUCACGCGUACCUAAUGCUGACAUACAAAGACUAAUUUUUAACAAUAAAAAUAGAUAAAAUUUUUAAUA
Molecule: non-coding RNA, 145 nt
Organism: Gossypium hirsutum (cotton)
Lineage: Eukaryota; Viridiplantae; Streptophyta; Magnoliopsida; Malvales; Malvaceae
Source: Rfam